CUUUAGGCGAUAAAACAGAUAAUUCCAUGCCAGGGAAGAUCUCAUGGUUUUUAAUGUGAGACCCUUGUGGGGCCCAACGAGAGUUGGCUGUUGUGGGAUCCAUCAUGAAGCCAGAAUUGCCUUUCCAUUGGAGGAUAAAAGCUAAGGCUGCAAGAGAAAGAGGGAGGAGAGUUAGGAGGAGGAUUAGUCUUGAGGUGAAGGAUUGAGUGGAUAUGGUGGUUGAGGUAGCGGUGGAGGAGCGGAGGGGAGCGUGGAGGUGGUGGCUGGGCAUGGUGGUUGAGAGAGUGAGAGAGAGAGAGAGAGAGAGGGAUGGAACGGUGGACUGCUGGUAGUUAAGUUACAGGGAAUUUAAUUUUAAUUUUUGGUGGGAGAGAUUCGAGUGUGUUCUUAAUCAUAUAUAUAUAUAUAUAUAGACUGCUAGUACUUAAGUCAUAGAAGAAUUUAAUUUUAAUUUUUGGUAUAUAUAAUGAACACACUCGAAUCUCUC
Molecule: long non-coding RNA, 487 nt
Filed under: Populus trichocarpa (black cottonwood)
Lineage: Eukaryota; Viridiplantae; Streptophyta; Magnoliopsida; Malpighiales; Salicaceae
Description: long non-coding RNA (PTRI_LNC002325)
Source: RNAcentral